Molecule: long non-coding RNA, 669 nt
Organism: Juglans microcarpa x Juglans regia
Lineage: Eukaryota; Viridiplantae; Streptophyta; Magnoliopsida; Fagales; Juglandaceae
Exons: 3
Source: RefSeq, a predicted model, not a curated record
AGAGUUGGCCUUUAGUAUCUGAGAGUGCAUGUUGGAUCCAUUCCGAAAUUCUUUGUCCCCUACCACUGUGGAAGCAUUGAUUUGAAUGCAGAGUUGAACCAAAGGGACUCAAAUUCAUGUUCUGGAUGUUUUUGACUUUAAUGAGGCUGACAAGGAGAAGGGUGGUGAUCUACCUGGAUCUGGUAAUCGUUGAUUUCAUUUUAUUAUUUUGAUUUAUUUUAUUUAUAUUCAUUUCAUCGAUAUUAAUUUCAAAUUUAAUUGUUGUAACCAUACAUGAUACAACAUCUACCUCUGUUGCAGUAUGACUUCACCAUAUUGGACCCCGACCCACCAUUGCCAUUUUCCAUAGUCUCAAUCCUAAUUCCAAGCCGAAAUUCAAAUGAUAUAUUCUCAAUGUCGCAUCUUGAUCCCCAUCUCAUCUUGAUUUUAUAAUCUCAUGACUCAUAGCAGGCAGUAUUAAAUUCUAUUUUAACCCUUGGCCACCCGCCUCAAAUGUCAAAGUCAAAUUCAAAGUUUCCCAUUGUAACUUCUAUAAUUUAUGUUCAAUUGUAUUUAGAUUUUACAUAUUCACUUCUUUGCAAUGUUGAUACAAUCACAAUGCCCCUUUUAUGUUUGUAAUUUUAUAAUUAUUCUCUCUCAAUUUGUAUUAUUGUAAUAGUUUAGUUAUUA